Molecule: ribosomal RNA, 270 nt
Filed under: uncultured bacterium
Lineage: Bacteria
Description: partial small subunit ribosomal RNA
Rfam family: Bacterial small subunit ribosomal RNA
Source: RNAcentral
AGAAUCAACGCUGGCGGCGUGCCUAACACAUGCAAGUCGAACGCGAAAGUCCCGCAAGGGAUGAGUAGAGUGGCAAACGGGUGAGUAACACGUGGGUGACCUGCCCUCGAGCGGGGAUAACGUCCGAAAGGGACGCUAAUACCGCAUGACAUCCUGCCUUUGAACAGGUGGAGAUCAAAGCUGGGGAUCGCAAGACCUAGCACUCGAGGAGGGGCCCGCGCCUGAUUAGCUAGUUGGUGAGGUAACGGCUCACCAAGGCUUCGAUCAGUA